RNAcentral lists this ribosomal RNA (301 nucleotides) under uncultured bacterium. RNAcentral's name for it is "partial 16S ribosomal RNA". It matches the Rfam family "Bacterial small subunit ribosomal RNA", at positions 509 to 809 of the family's 1533-position model. The record is from RNAcentral.
CAGCCGCCGCGGUAAAACGUAGGUGGCAAGCGUUGUCCGGAAUUAUUGGGCGCAAAGCGCGCGCAGGCGGAUAGGUCAGUCUGUCUUAAAAGUUCGGGGCUUAACCCCGUGAUGGGAUGGAAACUGCCAAUCUAGAGUAUCGGAGAGGAAAGUGGAAUUCCUAGUGUAGCGGUGAAAUGCGUAGAUAUUAGGAAGAACACCAGUGGCGAAGGCGACUUUCUGGACGAAAACUGACGCUGAGGCUCGAAAGCCAGGGGAGCGAACGGGAUUAGAUACCCCAGUAGUCCCUGUCUCUUAUACA